GUCACCUAAACAGUUCCUCGGCCUGGUUUUGUCUCAUCACUAACUUCAAUUCCACUAAGUUUACAUCUGGAUAUCAGGUGCAGCAAGUGGCUGUUGUUUUAAGCUCUGCUCUGAAUGACAUUUCCUUGUGGAGUAACCUGACCAGGGAUGAGAAGUCUGUUGCAGCUGAAUCAUACCUGGAGACUGUAGAGAGGGCAGUGCUGCAGUUGACUGAGCCUUCAGAUGUUCUCUUAAGGAAAAAUGUGCGCUCAGACAAUCUAGAUAUGGAGUUGCUGAUUAUACCAUUCAAACACAACACAUCAGAGGAACAGUUACGAGCCAAUAAAAACACACUGGAGAUUAAGUUGGGAAAACUUAUGGAAGCGAAUA
Long non-coding RNA from Acipenser ruthenus (sterlet), 369 nucleotides. RefSeq lists it as uncharacterized. The record is from RefSeq and is a predicted model, not a curated record. NCBI's taxonomy places the organism in Eukaryota, Metazoa, Chordata, Actinopteri, Acipenseriformes, Acipenseridae. The transcript is spliced from 3 exons.